Molecule: long non-coding RNA, 1110 nt
Filed under: Homo sapiens (human)
Lineage: Eukaryota; Metazoa; Chordata; Mammalia; Primates; Hominidae
Description: HSALNT0016736
Source: RNAcentral
AGACCGGAGCUGUUCCUAUUCGGCCAUCUUGGCUCCUCCCGAUUUUUUAAGCAGAAUUUUUCUUUUCUUAUUGUUGAGUUUUAAGUAUUCUUUGUAUAUUUUGGAGAACAGUCUUUUAACAGAUUUCUUUGUAGUCAAUUAGGACUGCCCAUUAAAGUGGCAGAAUAAGCACAGUGCCUGCUGCUAUGAUGUGAUGGGCCGUGGGAAACACUUUUCGCCUAAAAUCACCUCCUGCAAUGGCCUACUUAAGGCAUUUGAUUCACCUAUGUUAACAAAGAUGGAGUUUCACCAUGUAGCCCAGGCUGGUCUUGAACUCCUGGGCUCAAACAAACCACCUGCCUCAGCCUACCAAUGUGCUGGGAUUAUAGGAGUGAGCCACCACACCUGGCGUUAUCUGAGCUUCUUAGUAUGUGCUCCAUCCAUGUAUCAUUCAGAGGUGGAACUCACAUUUCUUCCAAUUUAAGCUGCACCUCCUCAGUGAUGUGGCCCCCCUAAUAGUCCUCUACACAGUGACCCCUCCUCCUUUGGAAUCGUUAUUGUCAUUUGGAACCAUAGUAGCUUGUCUCCAAAGAUGGCCUUCCAGUAACUCAUGCUUCCUGAUGAUCAGGCCCUAAAUAGGUUGUCCUUGUGACUUCCAUCUUGACCCAUAGAAUGUGGUGGAAGUAGCAUUGGAUGACGUCCAAGGUUAGUUCAUAAAAAGCCUUGUGGAUUCUUCCUCAGCCUCUAGAAACACUUGCUCUUGGAGCGUAUGCUUUGAGGAAAUCCAAAUGUCAUAUGAGAUGCCUGAGACCACCUAUCUCAGACUAUUGUGGGAGAGACUACUGUGCUGUGAAGAAGUACAAAGUAGCCAUGUGAAGAUACCAUACGGAGAAAGACAGAUGCCUAGGUAGCCCCUAGCUGUGCCAGCCAUCCCAUCAGAAUCACCACACAUAAGAGUAAAGGAAUCAUUGUGGAUGUCCAGCCUAGUCAAGCCUGUAGAUGAUUCCAGUUCCAGUUGCCAUCUGUCAGUAACUGCCUGAGACCCAAGACAAGAACCACCCAGCUUAGCCCAGUAAAUCCACAGAAUCACGUGUUAUCAUGAUAAUAAAUUGUUUUUUUAAGCAACUAAGA